AUAAUUACCUGGCAGUGGAGAUACCAUGAUCGUGUAGGUGGUCUUCCCAGGGUGGGGCUUCUCCAUUGUAGUCCACAUACACUGACCCCUACAAUUUCCCCAAAUGAGGGAAAUUCUACUACAGAAUUUGUGAUAGUAGGGGGACUGUGUUUGUGCUUUCCCUUU
Bison bison bison is the source of this 165-nucleotide small nuclear RNA. Its record names the gene U1. It matches the Rfam family "U1 spliceosomal RNA". Rfam says of the family: U1 is a small nuclear RNA (snRNA) component of the spliceosome (involved in pre-mRNA splicing). Its 5' end forms complementary base pairs with the 5' splice junction, thus defining the 5' donor site of an intron. There are significant differences in sequence and secondary structure between metazoan and yeast U1 snRNAs, the latter being much longer (568 nucleotides as compared to 164 nucleotides in human). The record is from Ensembl. Lineage: Eukaryota; Metazoa; Chordata; Mammalia; Artiodactyla; Bovidae.